Molecule: ribosomal RNA, 550 nt
Filed under: Scinaia confusa
Lineage: Eukaryota; Rhodophyta; Florideophyceae; Nemaliales; Scinaiaceae
Description: eukaryotic LSU rRNA
Rfam family: Eukaryotic large subunit ribosomal RNA
Source: RNAcentral
AUGGAAAGUACUUUGAAAAGAGAGUGAAAAGAACUUGAAACCGUCACGGGGGAAGCGAAUUGCGUGAGUGGUGGUGCCGCUUGUUCAGCGCCUUAGGCGUGUAUUCUGGCGGUACCUUGUCGUCGUGGCUGGCUGGCGUGUGAAUUUGACACGCCGGCUGGUGAGGGCUCCCUUUUUGGUGAGGACGACGACAAAAUGACGCAAUACGACCCGUCUUGAAACACGGACCAAGGAGUCUAGCACGGCUGCGAGUCGAAGGGUGUAAAACCCAAGGGCGCAGUGAAAGCGAAAUUAUAAGCAAGUUGGGGAGGCGUUGCGUUUUUAACAAAAUGUCCUACCUUGAGCACUUGUGCUGGGACCCGAAAGAUGGUGAACUAUGCCGGAGUAGGGCAAAGCCAGAGGAAACUCUGGUGGAGGCUCGUAGCGAUGCUGACGUGCAAAUCGCUCGUCGAACUUGGGUAUAGGGGCGAAAGACUAAUCGAACCAUCUAGUAGCUGGUUCCCUCCGAAGUUUCUCUCAGGAUAGCGGGCCGACAUAUGUUGUUUUGUGC